Molecule: ribosomal RNA, 523 nt
Filed under: uncultured bacterium
Lineage: Bacteria
Description: bacterial SSU rRNA
Rfam family: Bacterial small subunit ribosomal RNA
Source: RNAcentral
GGCCUAUCAGCUUGUUGGUGGGGUGAUGGCCUACCAAGGCGACGACGGGUAGCCGGCCUGAGAGGGCGGGCGGCCACACUGGGACUGAGACACGGCCCAGACUCCUACGGGAGGCAGCAGUGGGGAAUAUUGCGCAAUGGGCGGAAGCCUGACGCAGCGACGCCGCGUGGGGGAUGAAGGCCUUCGGGUUGUAAACCUCUUUCAGCAGGGACGAAGCGAGAGUGACGGUACCUGCAGAAGAAGCGCCGGCUAACUACGUGCCAGCAGCCGCGGUAAUACGUAGGGCGCAAGCGUUGUCCGGAAUUAUUGGGCGUAAAGAGCUCGUAGGCGGCUUGUUGCGUCUGCUGUGAAAACCCGGGGCUCAACCCCGGCCUUGCAGUGGAUACGGGCUAGCUGGAGGCAGGCAGGGGAGAAUGGAAUUCCCGGUGUAGCGGUGAAAUGCGCAGAUAUCGGGAGGAACACCGGUGGCGAAGGCGGUUCUCUGGGCCUGUACUGACGCUGAGGAGCGAAAGCGUGGGGAGCG